RNAcentral lists this non-coding RNA (31 nucleotides) under Homo sapiens (human). The record is from RNAcentral. Lineage: Eukaryota; Metazoa; Chordata; Mammalia; Primates; Hominidae.
UGAGCCUUGUGGAGCCUCAGGAUGCCCAUGU